This 6149-nucleotide small RNA is filed under the name Pongo abelii (Sumatran orangutan). Its description in RNAcentral is "retained intron". The stretch from base 3481 to 3597 matches the Rfam family "Metazoan signal recognition particle RNA". Lineage: Eukaryota; Metazoa; Chordata; Mammalia; Primates; Hominidae. The record is from RNAcentral.
GCUUGUCCAAGCUACAGAAUACAGAGGCUAAAAUGGGUGCUGGUGAUGUCCCGUGCCUUCCAGAUAUGAACAAAAGGGGACCAUGAGUUGGAUCUUCUCUCAGGGAUAAACUUGUACCAGCCAUGCUUAAGUGAGCUGGUGCUUAAUCACUUUUCCUUCAUGGACAGAGGAUCUAGACUCAUUCUUCUGUGCUUGUUUGUGUUACUCUUUGACAGCCUGAAGGUAUUGAAAAGGAAAUGACCCAGAGUUUCCUUAUCUGUACAGAAGGUGCCAAAGCCUCCAAGCAGGGAGUUUUGGACUUGCCAAACGAUGUAGUAGAAGGGUCAGCCAGAGGCUUUUUCACUGUUGUGGGGGAUAGUCUAGGACUUGCCAUGCAGAAUCUGGUUGUUCUCCAAAUGCCCUAUGGAAGUGGAGAGCAGAAUGCUGCCCUACUAGCAUCUGAUACUUAUGUUCUUGACUAUCUGAAAUCUACUGAGCAACUGACAGAGGAAGUUCAAUCUAAGGCUUUCUUUCUCUUAUCUAAUGGUUAUCAAAGGCAGUUAUCUUUCAAAAACUCUGAUGGUUCAUAUAGUGUGUUUUGGCAGCAGAAUCAGAAAGGAAGCAUAUGGCUCAGUGCUCUUACUUUUAAGACAUUGGAGAGAAUGAAAAAGUAUGUAUUCAUUGAUGAAAAUGUUCAAAAACAGACCUUAAUCUGGCUUUCAAGCCAACAGAAAACGAGCGGCUGCUUUAAGAAUGAUGGCCAGCUUUUCAAUCAUGCCUGGGAGGUGAGAGAGGAGAAGCACCAGGCUUUCCUUGCUCCUGGGCAUUGCCUGCCUUGCCCUGCCUCUGGCUUUCCUGAUCUGGAAUAUGAAUAUUCUUCCUGUGCAUAUGAAGCCUUCUGAGGCACUGCAGUCCUGGGCCUGUGGUGGGUUGGUCAGCAGCACCAUUCCUGCUUCGUGCAUGUUUAACCACAGCCUGGAUGUGACUCCUUCUGAGUCUCUUGUCUGCCUUAUUCAGUCUCUAGUCCUUCCCAAGUCAGUCCUCUUCAGAAAUUAAACUAGAAAUAGAAGGGAGGGGGAGAAAGGAAACCUAGAAAAGAAACUUUCAUAAAUUUGGAGACAGUCAAUGUAUAAAGGGAGAGGGCUGUGAGUAUAUGAGGAAGGAAAGUUUAUUCCUGUCCAUGAAUGGCAAGAAAGUUCUGGGGGAGAAUAUCUAGUAAUUCAUCUUGUUUCAAUGAAGCAAGUUUUUCUCAGACCCUCUCAAGGAAAAAUUCAAAGGCCAAGCUUGCCCUGGGGCCAAAGUACAAAUGAGGUGAAGUAUAUCCUUGGCAAAAUCCAACACUUUUCCUGUUCACAUUUAGGUAAAUCCCUCCCUUCCAACUUCCUUUCUUUGCAGAUACCUGUCCACCUCCAGCCCAUCUUCUAUCUCCUUUCCCCUCCUUUUUUUCCCUGUGGUUGCUCAAAAUCUCCUAUCAUGGCAUUUUAGCAUGCUCUGAUGGCCCCUGAAAUACCCUGAGCUUUUCUUCAGCAUCCUUCCUCAUAAUCAUCACUCCUGUUCUUGAAACACAGAAUGCAUAUCUAAUCCACAUCAAAAUAUGAAUGAAAACAGACACUCUAUGAUAUUUAAUUUGCAUGCAAAUUGUAUUCAAAUUGCUUUGUGGUAUUUUUAAUGUAUUCCAAACUUAUUCCUUACAACAGGAGGACUCUGAUGGAGGAGAGCUCUUGCUCCUUCGUAGAAAAAUCAAAAACUUUCCCACGUUCUCUUCUAAAACAUCUCCACAUCUUUCUUCUUAUUGGAUUCAUUACUGGUGAAUCAUUGCUGAUUACUGCUACAGUUUGUCUGAUCUUACCCAGUACUUUCUCUAUAAUUAAAUAUCUGUGUGGGUGGGUGGGUGGGUGGAUGUCUGUGUGUGUUUUGAGUUGAGAGAAAUAAAAAUGCAAGGGAAAAAUCAAAGCUUACACUGCAGAAGAAUGGUGAUACCACUUGCUGUAAUUUGGACGUACUGAGAGUCCUCAUACCUCAUGUUAGUGUCUACCAUAUGCAGUUAUUUGCAUCUUAAACACUUGGUUUCUCAGAAAUAUUUCUUUUCUGAAGAAGAGAGGAGUUGUCCUUUGCUUAAACAGAUAAAAUGGGAAGCUUGUACAAGAUCGGUAGAUCCCAGAUGCCAUUCUGAAUGCUAUUUGCAUCAGAGUCACUAGAGCACCCAUUAAAAUGCAUUUCGCUGUCUUAUUCCUGAAUUUUUUGGACCAGAAUCUCUGUGUAGACACUGGUUGAUUGAAGUACCCCAGGGGACUUUUAUGCACAGUCAAUUUGCAAACCACGUGAUUUAUAAAUGAGUUUCUCAUUUUACACUGUAAGAAUCUGAGACUUAAUUCUGGUGACCUCCUAGGGUGCUUUUCCAGGAAUUUCCAGGAAUCUUCACGGCAACUUUCUGCUUCACCUCAUUAGAAAUUCUUUGUUGGCUUUUUUCAGAUUUAUACCAAGUGGAGACAAAUAGAGUCCUGUGAAUUCCUUAGAAUGCAUGCUUAACACCAGGCCACAUAAAUACGAUUGAAAUUAAUUGUUAUAACAACUUAAUAAUUAUGAUUUAAUUAUUGCAUAGAGUCUGAAUGAAUUCUUGCUUAGAUGGUAUGAUUAUUAACCAUCUAAUUUAAAAACUACACAUGUUCAGGUGUUUUUAUAAAUAAUGGUAUUUGUUCCAGUAUUUUUUUCAUACCUAGUUUUACUUCAAAAGAAUACUUGCUAUUUUGUGCUCUCCUGUCCCAAAUGACUCCUUGUUCCUUUGUUUUCAGGGUGGAGAUGAAGAGGACAUUUCACUCACUGCAUAUGUUGUUGGGAUGUUCUUUGAAGCUGGGCUCAAUUUCACUGUAUGGAUUCCCAUCAUCUUCUGAUUUCAGUCAGCUGAAUGCACAUUCAAUAACUGUAGAGUCAGAGUCACUUGAGAUUCUAAGACUGGAUAAAACCCCGAGAUAACAUUUAGUUUAUUACCACCCUUUAAAUUCAAGCUUUUCAAAUUGUUUUUCAUUCAUAGACAGCUUUGAAAAACAGGAUUGGGUUUCUCCCUAGGGAGAAUACACAUAUGCACAGAAAAACGAGAUAUUCACACAAUUGCAGGCAUUCACAUCUCUCCUGAAGUUCAGCCAUAAAUUUCGGAUUGAGAACCCCUGUUCUAAGUAAAGCCAUAGCCUAGUAUUCUGUUUCUCUCUAAACAAUAAGUGAGUAAACAUUUUCAACUGAAGUGUGGCUCACCCUAGCCACCUCCCAAUCCAUAGGUUAGAUUUCCAAAAUCUAUUCCUGAACUAAGAUGCUAGGAAUUGUCAGGGUCAUUAGUAUACCUUGAAAAUUAUCUUCAGAAAUGUAAGCCUCUAUUUUAGGCAUUAGAAAAAAAAAAAAGCUUAGGCUUAUGAUAAAUUUGGAUGCUUUGCCGCAUAGAAGACAUUCAUAACUGAAAUAUCACUGAUCAAAUAUAAAAACUGCCAUUUUCUUACUAAAUUUUAUUGGGCCGGGCAUGGUGGCUCAUGCCUAUAAUCCAAGCACUUUGGGAGGCUGAGGUGGGUGGAUUACCUGAGGUCAGGAGUUCAAGACCAGCCUGGCCAACAUGGUGAAACCCUAUCUCUACUAAAAAUACAAAGAUUAGCUGGGCUUGGUGGUGCAUGCCUGUGAUCCCAGCUACUCGGGAGAUGGAGGCAGGAGAAUCGCUUGAACCUGGGAGGUGGAGGUUGCAGUGAGCUGAGAUCAUGCCACUGCACUCCAGCCUGGGUAACAGAGCGAGACCCUAUCUCAAAAAAAAUAUAUAUAUAUAUUGCUUAGGUACUAAUAAUGACAUUAUAAAUUUAUUUUAAUGAUAUUUUUGAAGGAUAAAAUAUAUGUGUAUAUAUAAAUGGAUUUGUAUGUAAAAUAUACUUUGAGGAUAUAUUAUAUAUAUUAUAAACAAUGAUUAGUUUAAAUGUUCAACAAGCUCAUGGAAUGUUCGGGUAUCAGUUUACAAUAUAUGAUUCUUCUUCCUGACCAACAGUUUCCUGCUCUACGAAACGCACUCUUUUGCCUUGAAGCGGCAUUGGACAGUGGUGUCAAAAAUGGCUACAAUCAUGCAAUUCUAGCUUAUGCUUUUGCCCUAGCUGGAAAAGAGAAGCAAGUGGAAUCUUUACUCCAAACCCUGGAUCAAUCUGCCACAAAACUAAAUGAUGUCAUCUACUGGGAAAGAGAAAGGAAACCCAAGACAGAAGAAUUUCCAUCUUUUAUUCCCUGGGCACCUUCUGCUCAGACUGAGAAGACUUGCUAUGUGCUGUUGGCUGUCAUUUCCCGGAAAAUUCCUGACCUCACCUAUGCUAGUAAGAUUGUGCAGUGGCUUGCCCGACAGAUGAAUUCCCAUGGAGGCUUUUCUUCCACCCAGUGAAGGAUCCAGUGAGAUUUUCCAGGUUAACAAUGAUAACCGCCUACUGGUCCAACGUUCAGAACUAACAAAGGCACCUGGACAAUACACAGUAGAUGUGGAAGGACACGGUUGUACAUUUAUCCAGGCCACCCUUAAGUACAAUGUUCUCCUACCUAAGAAGGCAUCUGGAUUUUCUCUUUCCUUGGAAAUAGCAAAGAACUACUCUUCGACUGUUUUUGACCUCACAGUGACCCUCAAAUAUACUGGAAUUCGCAAUAAAUCCAGUAUGGUGGUUAUAGAUGUAAAAAUGCUAUCAGGAUUUACUCCAGCCAUGUCAUCCAUUGAAGAGCUUGAAAACAAGGGCCAAAUGAUGAAGACUGAAGUCAAGAAUGACCAUGUUCUUUUCUACUUGGAAAAUGUUUUUGCUACAGCAGACAGUUUCACUUUUUCUGUUGAGCAGAGCAACCUUGUGUUCAACAUUCAGCCAGCCCCAGUCAUGGUCUACGAUUAUUACGAAAAAGGUAGGCAAGCAACAGCCAUGCCCUAAGGCUAUUGAACAUGGUAUUUAUAUCUAACAUUCUCUGAGCUACUAAACUUUCCAAAAUCAACCUCUGUCUUCACAGAGUAAACAAUAGAUGGCAUUACUUUGUAUACUGGUUUCUUUAUUCCAUGAUGUGUCUUCUGACUGAACCCAUUUUCCAGUUACCAGAGUUUUUCAACACCAGAAUCCUUGCAAUAUAACCUGACAGGGCUCCACUUGAACUUGAAAGACAAGCCACACUAAGCUUCCAGGUCUUUUUGUUAUUGUCAUUGUUGUUCAUGCUAAGACUGACUGUUCCAAGCUAUCUCUAUGGACUUUGACUUAAAAAUGGGAGUGGGGAAUAUUCUGAAAUGUUAUUUUAAAAAAUUGAUAGAUUAAUUUCUAAAACAAUUACUAAGAUGUUGUAGAGACCAUACAACUGUUCCCUGGAAGGUUGGUACUAUUUGUUUCUUGUUGAAUGCUGUGUGAAGUUUGUCGAGUAUUUGAAUUCUGUGUCUGUCAUUUACUAAUAGAAUGUAUUUCAUCAAGUGUCUUAAAUAUUAUUAGCAUAUUUCUGGAUGUAUAAAAUGGGAAAGUAAUUGUCUCUAUUUCAAAAUUAUUGGAAAGAUUAGAUCUAAUGUGCUUAUAUCAUCUAUUUAAUAAAAAUACAUGUUCCCUUUAUUUUUUCAGGAGAAUAUGCCCUUGCUUUUUACAACAUCGACAGUAGUUCAGUUUCCGAGUGAGACAAAGCAAUUACUGGAAGAGGUAAAGAAAUUUUAUUACAUCAUAAACCAUUGAAAACACAUCUAGUAAGAAAAUGAAAGCCUAAAUAAGAUAGGACAAUGGUUGAAGAAAGAAAAGUGUCUGGUACUUCAUUAGACUUGUGUAGCUGUGUACUACAUGAGUAAUCUGAUAGUCAUUAAGACUAUUAAUUUCUUUAAAAAUAGCUUUAAAGAAUUCACAGCUAUAUAUGUACCUUUUAUAAAUCUCUCAUUUUUGUUUUGGUACAUAAGUGUAUAUAUGUAUGAUACGUCUAUGUGCCUAUAUAUGCAUGUUUUUAUAUCUAAACAUCUAUUUAUAUAUGUGUUUAUUGUUUAAACAAUGUUUUAAAUCCCAGGUGGAAAAGCAUUUCUUUUAAUAAACCGAUUCUUCUGUAUCAAACCUGGAAAAAAAUCAUGAACCAUCUGACAUCCUGAACAGUCUGCAAUCUGCUAUGGCUUCUUGUCAGGUCUUAUUUCCUUAUCAUCCCAUUAAAUGUUGUCAUUUUGCAUCUGA